UACAGAGGUCCCGAGCGUUGUUCGGAUUCACUGGGCGUAAAGGGUGCGUAGGUGGCUUGAAAAGUUUGAUGUGAAAGCUCAGGGCUUAACCCUGAAAUGGCAUUGAAUACUGUCGAGCUGGAGGUUUGGAGGGGGGACUGGAAUUCUUGGUGUAGCAGUGAAAUGCGUAGAUAUCAAAAGGAACACCAGUGGCGAAGGCGAGUCCCUGGACAACACCUGACACUGAGGCACGAAAGCUAGGGGAGCAAACAGG
This 253-nucleotide ribosomal RNA is filed under the name uncultured bacterium. RNAcentral's name for it is "partial 16S ribosomal RNA". It matches the Rfam family "Bacterial small subunit ribosomal RNA", at positions 524 to 776 of the family's 1533-position model. The record is from RNAcentral.